CCUACGGGUGGCAGCAGUGGGGAAUAUUGCACAAUGGGGGAAACCCUGAUGCAGCGACGCCGCGUGAGUGAAGAAGUAUUUCGGUAUGUAAAGCUCUAUCAGCAGGGAAGAAAAUGACGGUAGCUGACGAAGAAGCCGCGGCUAACUACGAGCCAGCAGCCGCGGGAAGACGUAGGGGGCAAGCGUUAUCCGGAUUUACUGGGUGGAAAGGAGGCGGAGACGGCCAGACAAGUCAGAAGUGAAAACCCGCGGCUCAACUUCGGGAAUGCUUUUGAUACUGUUUGGCUGGAGUGCAGGAGAGGUAAGUGGAAUUCCUAGUGUAGCGGUGAAAUGCGUAGAUAUUAGGAGGAACACCAGUGGCGAAGGCGGCUUACUGGACUGUAACUGACGUUGAGGCUCGAAAGCGUGGGGAGCAAACAGGAUUAGAUACCCGAGUAGUC
Molecule: ribosomal RNA, 440 nt
Filed under: uncultured bacterium
Lineage: Bacteria
Description: partial 16S ribosomal RNA
Rfam family: Bacterial small subunit ribosomal RNA
Source: RNAcentral